GCUGCCGGACAGGCGGUCGCCCGGCUUGCCGCACGGCAGGCGCGGGAGGAAAGUCCGGUCUCCACAGGGCAGCGUGCCGGCUAACGGCCGGGAGGGUUCGCUCACAAGCGGGCUUUACGGAAAGUGCCACAGAAAACGUACCGCCACGGGCGAGCGAUCGCUCGGGGUAAGGGUGAAAAGGUGCGGUAAGAGCGCACCGCGGCCGGAGCAAUCCGCGCCGGCAGGGCAAACCCCACGCGGAGCAAGACCAAAUAGGGGAGGAGGGACGGCCCGUCCCGUUCGACUUCCGGGUAGGUCGCUUGAGCCGGGCAGCAAUGCCCGGUCUAGAGGAAUGACCGCCGCCCCGGCGUGCCGGGGAGACAGAAACCGGCUUAUCGUCCGGCAGCCUCG
Molecule: RNase P RNA, 390 nt
Filed under: Bryobacterales bacterium
Lineage: Bacteria; Pseudomonadati; Acidobacteriota; Terriglobia; Bryobacterales
Description: RNase P RNA component class A
Rfam family: Bacterial RNase P class A
About the family: Ribonuclease P (RNase P) is a ubiquitous endoribonuclease, found in archaea, bacteria and eukarya as well as chloroplasts and mitochondria. Its best characterised activity is the generation of mature 5'-ends of tRNAs by cleaving the 5'-leader elements of precursor-tRNAs.
Source: RNAcentral